ACCCUCGGCUCCCGAGGCCCCGCGGCGCCUCCUUCUGCGGACUCUGCGGGACCCUCCCCCGCAGGCGCUGUGCCCUGGAGAAGGCACAGCGGCGCAGGCAUGGCCGCGGGGGCGGCGGCGCGGAAGACAGCGCCGGUGCUGGAGGCGCCCCUGCAGCAGGAGCAGCUCUCUCAUACAAAGCUUUCUGCAGAAGACGCAUGGAACCUGCAGCAGGAGAGGAUGUACAAGAUGCACCGGGGCCACGAUUCCAUGCACGUGGAAAUGAUCUUGAUCUUCCUCUGCGUUCUGGUCAUUGCCCAGAUAGUGCUGGUUCAGUGGAGACAGAGGCAUGGCCGAUCCUACAAUGUGAGUCACCCCCGUGGCUGCUGGGAGCCUGCUCCAGCUUGUAUCAGCUUGAUUGUUUUUUUCCAGGACAUGUUCUCCCUUGGUUAGCACUUUGAAGGAACUGCCUUGGUUUAAGUCAGUGGUCCUCAACCAAGUGCAAUUUCACUCCCAGGAGACAUUUGGCAAUGUCUGGAAACAUUUUUGACUGUCAAGACUUGUGGGGGGUGAAAAGGGGAGGGAAGUUGCAACUGGCACCUGGU
RNAcentral lists this small RNA (584 nucleotides) under Pongo abelii (Sumatran orangutan). RNAcentral describes it as "retained intron". The record is from RNAcentral. Lineage: Eukaryota; Metazoa; Chordata; Mammalia; Primates; Hominidae.